This 497-nucleotide ribosomal RNA is filed under the name uncultured bacterium. RNAcentral describes it as "partial 16S ribosomal RNA". It matches the Rfam family "Bacterial small subunit ribosomal RNA", at positions 28 to 507 of the family's 1533-position model. The record is from RNAcentral.
GAUGAACGCUGGCGGCGUGCCUAAUACAUGCAAGUCGAGCGAACAGACGAGGAGCUUGCUCCUCUGACGUUAGCGGCGGACGUGUGAGUAACACGUGGAUAACCUCCCUAUAAGACUGGGAUAACUUCGGGAAACCGGAGCUAAUACCGGAUAAUAUCUUGAACCGCAUGGUUCAAUAGUGAAAGACGGUUUUGCUGUCACUUAUAGAUGGAUCCGCGCCGCAUUAGCUAGUUGGUAAGGUAACGGCUUACCAAGGCAACGAUGCGUAGCCGACCUGAGAGGGGGAUCGGCCACACGGGAACUGAGACACGGUCCAGACUCCUACGGGAGGCAGCAGUAGGGAAUCUUCCGCAAUGGGCGAAAGCCUGACGGAGCAACGCCGCGUGAGUGAUGAAGGUCUUCGGAUCGUAAAACUCUGUUAUUAGGGAAGAACAAAUGUGUAAGUAACUAUGCACGGCUUGACGGUACCUAAUCAGAAAGCCACGGCUAACUACGUG